CCUACGGGAGGCUGCAGUGGGGAAUCUUGGGCAAUGGGCGCAAGCCUGACCCAGCAACGCCGCGUGAAGGAAGAAGGCUUUCGGGUUGUAAACUUCUUUUUUCAGGGACGAAGCAAGUGACGGUACCUGCCGAAUAAGCCACGGCUAACUACGUGACAGAAGCCGCGGUAAUACGGAGGUGGCAAGCGUUUUCAGGAUUUAUUGUGUUAAAAGGGCGUGUAGGCGGGAAUGCAAGUCAGAUGUGAAAAUGAUGGUAUCAACCCAUAGCCUGCAUUUGAAACUGAAUUUCUUGAGUGCUGGAGAGGCAAUCGGAAUUCCGUGUGUAGCGGUGAAAUGCGUAGAUAUACGGAGGAACACCAGUGGCGAAGGCGGAUUGCUGGACAGUAACUGACGCUGAGGCGCGAAAGCGUGGGGAGCAAACAGGAUUAGAUACCCUUGUAGUC
This 443-nucleotide ribosomal RNA is filed under the name uncultured bacterium. Its description in RNAcentral is "partial 16S ribosomal RNA". It matches the Rfam family "Bacterial small subunit ribosomal RNA", at positions 338 to 795 of the family's 1533-position model. The record is from RNAcentral.